Molecule: ribosomal RNA, 517 nt
Filed under: uncultured Sphingobacterium sp.
Lineage: Bacteria; Pseudomonadati; Bacteroidota; Sphingobacteriia; Sphingobacteriales; Sphingobacteriaceae
Description: bacterial SSU rRNA
Rfam family: Bacterial small subunit ribosomal RNA
Source: RNAcentral
GAGUUUGAUCGUGGCUCAGGAUGAACGCUAGCGGCAGGCUUAAUACAUGCAAGUCGUGGGGCAGCAGGUCCGUAGCAAUACGGAUGCUGGCGACCGGCAAACGGGUGCGUAACACGUACGCAACCUUCCUUCAGGCGGGGAAUAGCCCGGGGAAACCCGGAUUAAUACCCCAUAAUAUUUUGAGAUGGCAUCAUCUUAUUAUUAAAGCUUCGGCACCUGAUGAUGGGCGUGCGGCUGAUUAGGUAGUUGGCGGGGUAAUGGCCCACCAAGCCAGCGAUCAGUAGCUGAUGUGAGAGCAUGAUCAGCCACACGGGCACUGAGACACGGGCCCGACUCCUACGGGAGGCAGCAGUAAGGAAUAUUGGUCAAUGGACGAAAGUCUGAACCAGCCAUGCCGCGUGGAGGAUGAAGGUCCUCUGGAUUGUAAACUUCUUUUAUUUGGGGACGAAAAAGGGAAAUUCUUUUCCACUUGACGGUACCAGAUGAAUAAGCACCGGCUAACUCCGUGCCAGCCGCC